Molecule: long non-coding RNA, 10054 nt
Organism: Prosopis cineraria
Lineage: Eukaryota; Viridiplantae; Streptophyta; Magnoliopsida; Fabales; Fabaceae
Exons: 6
Source: RefSeq, a predicted model, not a curated record
CCGAUCUGAUUCUCAUUUUUGUCGGUGUCUGUGAGCAAGAGUUCUUUGUCCGGAAGCUUCAACCCCUCCGUUCCGCAACCCUUGUCCACCAAUUUCCUUUGUCUAUCACCAUUACUAGUGAUGUUAGGUGCACAGAAGAUCCUCGCCUUUGCUCUGUCUUCCACAUCUGCUCCUCUGUUCGUUCCUCUAUUGUGGGUGUAAUCAUCAGAGUUCCUUUUUUGUGGGAACCUGCAAACAAUUCUGGGCGUUCCUCCUUCGAGUGCAGCAGCGUCAUCGAAAAAUCUUCUCUCCUCAGCUCUGCCGUCGUCGACUAUAGGAUGGGUGGAGAUCAUCUCCUUAUCUCUUCCGUGUUUGACUUUCAACUCUUGUUUUUUCAUCACUAAUUUGGAUUGAAUAGUAGAAUGGCAAGUCAGGAUGAAACGUGUGAGCACUUAUGAAAAUAGCCUCACUGUACUAUGUGCCACAUGCAUCACGGCGUAUGGCACAUAAUUUACUUAAAGCUGAUAUGCAUCAACUUGAGAAUCAGAAGGAAAAAGAAGAGAAAGCAUGAAGGGAAGGUUUCUCUGCUAGGGUAAUAGUUUUCAAAAGUUUAGAAUUUUACUUCAACUAGUAACUUGUCAGAUUUAGUCUUUGAGAGUUGCUUGUGGGAAUCUACACCCAUGGGAGUUAACUGCCUGCAUGGUAACCCUUGAUAGUGAGGGUAAAAGGUGAAAAGAGGAUGAGAAGGCUAGGAAAGGAAAUGAGGAAAUAGUAACUUAUAAUGGUAGAGGUAUAACCACUUUUGUGGAAUGAGUGUAUAAUUAUGUUGUUAAAGAUUUGAAUUGUCAACUAGGAUACAUAAGUGUAUAUAAAUGAAUAUAUGUGAUUAUGCUGUGAGAACUUGCUUGUAUCUCUGUAUUGCAUCUCACUGAGUGUACCACAAUGGUGGAUACGUGGGUAGGCCAAGAUGCUAGUCAAGCAAGUGUAUGUUAUUAUAUAACUUGUUCUACUAGUAUUGGUUAUGAAAUUGUUGUGAUGAAAUGUGCAUAUAUGUGGGACUUGACCAAAUGUUAAGGCUUUACCCCAUUUGUAUGAGUCAAGUGUAUUUGUAAUUUCCGACUAUAUAGUAAGGCUUAGUCCCAUAUGUGAGAGUCAGAUGAUUAAAAGUGAACAAGUGUAUGUACGUAUGUGUUUUGUGUCUCAUAUAAGUCCACAAGUGUGUAAUGUGACAUUGAGAGGUAAAGAUAAGUAUUUAUUGUGAUAUACAUGAUUUGAUAUGUUAAUCAGGUAUAUAUUGUCAUUUUAGACUUAGUUCAAGGACCAUAGCGAUCUAAUAGGAUAAGGAAUGAGAAUUGAGAACCUAGGAUGCUAGUUUUAAAAAAUGACUUUUUACAUUUGAAUGUCCAAUUGUAGAUCGGACCGUUGAAUUGUGUCCAAACUUAUCUCAUUAGAUAGAAUAUGUUGAAACUUUCGUGUGGGCGUUUGAAUCACUCCAAUCAAACAUCGGAUGUAGAAUCGAUGCAAGAUGAAAAUUUGCUUUUGUGAAUUGUCAUUUGACAAUAAAAUUCUAUCAUGUACACCGUGGCAUGACACAAAGAAGGGAGCCUAUGACUUUAUACUACAUGUGGCAGUGUAUUGUGGUACAGGUCGUAGCACACGGCCUUGUUUGAGAUAAAUAAUUGUGUAUUUUAAUUGUUGGUAGGCUAUAAGUUAUGCUUUUGUUAGCCCUAUUAUUUGAACUUAUUUUUUUAAAAAUUCGAGAUCUCCCAUUUUAAAAAUAAAUUAAGGGCUAUAAGUCUUAUACUUGUGUUGUAAUGUGUGUAUGGAUUAGUAAAGUCUAGAUUAUAUAAAAGACUUUACAAAAAACACCCUUGUAGGACAUGGAUGUUGAAAGGUACACCAAGAAAUCCUUAGAAUGUGAGAAGGUAUAGACCAUCAGGGAAAAAGUAUGAGUAAGGCAGGAGUAGCAGGUUCUACAAGAAAGAGGAAAAGUUAAACUUGUCUUCUCGCUAUCAGGCUUUAGAUGAGCUAGAAGGUGAUGUUGGCAUGUCAAAAGAAAAUCAAGAAAGUGGAGAAGGGAAGCAGGUAAUUUUGGUUGAGAAAGGAGAAGAGUCUACCCUAUUUAAUGCUAAGGAGGCUAAAAAGACAAAAAGUGUAGGGGGUCAAUCCUGAAGCAGUGGGGGAAGAAAGAAAGGACAAGAUAAGUCAAAGCAAAUAUCAAAGACAAUAAGGAAAGAAAAUUUGAAACCAAGUGGGUCAGGUAUAAAUGGCCCAAACCAAAAAUUGACUAGGCCUAUUUUUAAUGGUCAGAACCAAAAACUGGUGUGAUGAAAAACGACUUGGGUAAUAAGCCCAAUAUCCAACGGAUCUAACAAGAAAUUGGGCUAGAGAACCCAUUCUAUUGUAAUUGGUCAUAUUGACCAAUUGAAAUCCUCACACAAUAGCCCAUCAAUUAUUAUGCCAAAUUAUCCCCCUGAGGCUGAUAUGCUAAUAGAUGACACAUAAGGCUCACCUCUAGGCUCACCUUUAGAUAUGCAAAUAAAUGACAUAUAUGGAAACACUAAUGGAGAAGAAACCCCUUGACUCGCAAGGUUUGAUGACUGCGCACAACUUCUUGGAUAAUUCUGGGCAAGAUUUUUUAGCUAUGGUGCGAAGUGUUUCAUGCAUUUUGAAUCAACGAGUUAUGCCAAAAUACAAUGUCUUUGCUGAAGUCUGUUCUAGAGGAGUUUGUUAAUGAUCCUCUCAACUAAUUCGGGUUUAUCCCUUUCUUUGUCCUAGUUUUUAAUGAUUGUUGCUUCUUGGAAUUGUCGCGGUGCUAGUAGUAAGGAUUUUACAGGCAUCAUUAAAAACUAGCUCUCUUUUUAUAAUAUUGAUGUCUUAUGUCUCAUUGAGCCUUGGAUUAGCAGGGACAAAUCUGAUAGGGUGAUUAAAUAGUUUAGUUUCAGUCACUGGCUUUGUGUUGAAGCAAUUGGUUUUGCUGGAGGGAUUUAGGUUCUUGGGAAUGAUAGGGAUAUUAAGGUUGACUAUAUAUGCUCCAAUACCCAAGUUUUCCAUUGCAAAUUAUUUGAUAUUAGGUCAGGUAAGUGUUUAGUUUCUACUUUUGUUUAUGGGGAGACUUGUAUUUUAAAAAGAAAGUUAUUGUGGGACUCCCUAAAAGCCAUUGCUGAAUUCACGGAUGAAGCUUGGUUAGUUAUUGGUGAUUUUAAUACUUUUUUGGAUUUCUUGAAUAAGAGUGGAGGGUUACUACCUUCUAUUCAGGCUAUGAAUAAUUUCUACAACUACAUUAAUGAAGUUGAACUUAUUGAAAUUCCAGUUGUGGGAGAUAAAUUUAUUUGGAAAAGAAAAGAUCUCAAGGAAAGGUUAGAUUGGUCUUUUUGCAAUGCUCUUUAGCAAGAAAGUCACCCGCAUGCCAAAGUUUUCCAUUGCUUGAAAUUCAGCUUUGAUAAUUGCAUUUUAGUUGUUGCUAAUGAAAAUCCUUCUAGGAACAAUUGGAGUGUCAACAAGCAUUUUUUCUAUCAAACAGCUUGAACAUUGGAAAAUGGUCUUCCCGAACUUGUCCAAGACACUUAGAAUAAUCGAAGUUGGAUUGAGGGUGCACAAAGUUUUAGUAAAGCUACUAAAAUUUAGAGUAAUAAUAAUAUUGGUAGCAUUCCUAAAAAGAGGAGAGAAAUUUUUAACAAGCUUAGGAGCACUGAUAGGAAUAGAAGUGAAUUUGAUCAUGAUGGUUUAUUUCGAUUGGAAAGAAGAUUAUGGAAAGAAUACCAAAAACUUUAUGGUCAAGAGGAGAUGAUUUGGUUUCAAAAAUUAAGGUGUAAAUGGCUUCAAUAGGGGGAUAGGAACACAAGGUACUUUCAUACUACUACAAGAAUAAGAAGAAGGAAAAGCAACAUUAUUGCCCUUCAAAAUAAUAUAGGUGAAUGGAUCAUGAUAUUCCUACGCUAAAAAGCAUGGCUUGUGACUAUUUCAAGAAUCUCUAUUAUAAUAAUUCUAAUAUUCUGAGCUUCACUGAUUGGCCUCAAGAUUUCCCUGUUCUUCAUUCUUAUUAGUUGAAUCAUAUCUGUGAACAUUGUAUUUUAUCCGGGUAUUCUUUUUAAAUUUAAUAAUAAAUAAUCAAAAAAUAUAAAAAAAUAUAAAAAUGAAAUUUAAUCCUUUUUUAGGAUUAUAUUUUCAAAAAAAAUCUUGCUUAAAUUUUUUAAAAAUCUCUCUCAAAUUAUUUCAACCAUUCAAAAAAUAUUGAGUGUCAACUUUUGAGAGUUAACUUUUUCUCUCCUUAAAUCUUGUUUUUCAUUAAAAUUAAAAAAAUAUAUCUUUAAUUUAAUUUCAAAAAUAGACAUUAAUUAAAAAAAAUGAUAAAAGGCUGUGGUUAAACGCACAGCAUUUCACCACAGCUAAGAGCAGACCUUUUCGGCGCUGAUCAGGGAGGAAAGAAAACAGAAACACGAGCAGAGAACGCCAGAAGCACACACAAUCAUGAAAUGGAGAAAGGAAAAAGCAAAGAGCAAAGAGCAAUGCCAGAUGAAAACACAGACUACAGAAAAGCUUCAUAGAGAGAACAUGUGAACAUGCAACAAAAUAAGAGAGAGAUGCAGAGCAAGCAACCAUAGCCCUAAAACUUUGGCCAUGCAGUAAAAAAAGAGAGCAGAGAGAAGGCAAAAGAAAAGACUAGACAUGCACACAGACUGCAAGCGAAACACAGACAGAAAGAGAGCAAUAGAUGAUAACAGAAGACCAGGCGUACACGUUGAAGCAAGCACACACAUGCACGGAAAACACGCUAGAAAAACAGAGCACGGAUGAAAUGCAGAAAAAGGGAACGAGAGCACAAAUGAAAGAUAGAAGAGAGAGACCGAGAGUGAGGAAGGAUGGGAGACAAGAAUAAAAACUGGAAGAGAAGAAAAAAAGGGAGAGAGUAGUGACCGAACGUAGGAAAGGGGAGAAGCUUGAAUAGAGGUGAAGAAGAAAAGAGAGUGAGGAUGAGAAACUGGAAGGAAAACAAAGACAGGAUGAUGAGAAACUGGAAGCAAAAUAGAGACAGAGAGAGGGAUCAAAAGAAGCAAAAACACGAUGACAGGGAAGAGAGGACUGAAGAAUGCAAAAUAGAGGAUGUCAUGGCUAAAGAAAAGGAGAGUGACAGGGAAGAGCGGACUGAAGGUAGAAAACAGAGACAAGAGAGGAGGUGACGGAGUAGCUUUUUUCUAGAAAAGCUGGGAAGGAGAAGAGAGAGACCGAAGGAGUUAAAAAAAAUAGAGGUUGAGAGAGGAAGAAACAGAGACGAAGAGAGGAGAAACGGACUUAGCCGAGAAACCAGCACCGGAGAGUUUUUUGAAAAGAAAAAAAGAAGAAAAAACUGAAAAAGGAAGAGAAAAAAAUCGAGAACAGAACACAAAGGAAACGCAGAAGGAAGAGCGAGAAAGGACUGUGGGAGAAGAAAAAACUGGAGCACAAGAAAUAAAGCAUCGAGAAGAGGAGGAAAGAAAGAACACGAGGAGAGAGAGGAAGCAACACAGAAAAAGAGAGGGGACCGGGAGAAGAGAAGAGAGAAAACCAGACGGAGAAAUAAUGGAAACUGGACAGCACCUACUGAUCAUUUUUUUACAUGCUCUCACUUCUAGCUUCCGAGUUCCAACUGAGUUGAUGACUCAUUCUCAUGCAAAAUUUGGUCAUCACAGUGCUAUUCUGCUCUUCUUUCUCUUCAAAAUCUGCAAAUGGAAGUUCAUCACAGAUCACUUCUUUCAGUUGAAGAGGAGGAAUGGAACUUUGCUUUGUGGCUUUCUUACAUUCUCACUGGUGUUGGAUCAAACUUUAUUUCGUGAUUUCAUGAGGUUAGAGAAAGAUUCUUGAAAUGCUUACAUUGGGGUAGUUCGUGAUAGAGAAGGUUAUGGAAGCGGCUCAAGCUUCAAUUGCAUUAUCAGGUACCUUCCGUGGAGGCUACUUAAUGCAAUGUCAGAGCUAUAACAGCAUGUUCUUCCUCCUCUGCUUCUCAUCAUAUUCUCUUUCCUCCUCCAUGGUCUCCAAUUCUCGCCAGCGUAUGUGUGUGAGAAAGCCUCGUCUGCCACUCGAAGAGGUUCAAGUCGUGGUUUUCUCCUCCUCCAUGGCCACGUAACUGAAGCUUCCUCUUUUAUUUCUCAUGGAUGCACUUGGAGACCGACAGUAAGCUGCCGACCUUAACCAUCGUAUCUUCUUUGAUCUUCUUCUCCGUGCGUCUUGGGUCAUCGUGAAAGUGCUGGAGCUUCCGUCUUUUGUUUUCCUCUAUUUAGGCAAGCUGUAAGAGUGCGCUAGAAUUUCCUUCCUCUGUUGUGCUAUAGUCGAUCGUUGCUGGGCAGGGAUGAAGUCAUCUCUUUCUUACUAUUGACGUCGAAAACUAUGGUGACUGAAAUCCUUCCCUUCGUGGCUCAUCUUCACCCACUUCUCCUCUGUGGUGCGUUGCUAUAGGGUUGCUGUCAUUGGUUGUCUCCUCUGUUCUUGCCAUGGUAUGGGUUGCAUCGGACCUUCUUUAUUUUCUCCUCCUCUGUUCAUAUUGUUGCUGAUAAAUUUACUUCCUUUGGUGGUACUGCUGUGCGUGUGCAUGAUUCAAUUUUGUUGAAGUUUCAAUUUCUUUUCUUGUGUUUUGUUGUUGUCAUGAUUGUUUAAGAAGGAGAAGAUUUUAAAUUAACCUAAAAAUGCAUAUUGAAGCUUGGUAAAGAUAUAUUUGGGUUAGAAUUUUUGAGCUGGAUUGAUUUUUGUUUAAAUUGAUAUUGAAGGCUUGGUUAGGAUGAAGUUGGAAGAGAAAAACCAAAAAAUGAAACUUGAAGAAUGAUGUCUAUAAGAUGUUUGCUAAAGUGCUUGGUAGAGAGAGUGUUUGAUUGUGCAUUUCCUAAAAUCUCAUUAAACUUUUUGGGAGACAGGUUUGGAUGAUAUUAUUUAGUGAAUUGAGCUUGGUAUUGUGUAAAAAUUUUUUAUUAUGAAAGUGGUGCCUAGCUAGUUAAAUUCUUUAGAGUUAUGCAGUUAUUGAAAAAUUGUUGAGCAAUUUAUUGUGAGAUUUGAAAAUAAUGUAUAUUCAGUGUCUAGAUAAAAAGUUUAGUAGGAGAUUGUAUCAUAAUGGAAUAUUGAGUUAUGACCUUUGAGGGAUUUUCAUGUGUAAAGUCUUGAUUUUAAAAUUUCAAGUUAUUAUAAAGUUGAAUCUUGGUAGUAAAAUAUUGGAAGUAAAUUAUCAAAUUUACUGAAAGUUUAUUAAAUAUUUUAUAUAAAUUAUAAGGUUUUUGGAAGAGUAAACAUUUAAUUGAAGUUGAGAGGUGAAUUUUUAAAUUUUGAAAAGUAUUUCAGGUAAGUGGAUAGCGUCCUAACUGAUAUUUUAAUAAAAUUUCUUUAUUAAAAUAUUACAUUUUUAUGCAAAUUUUUUUUGCAACAACGAUGUGAUUAUUAUAUAUUUUGUUGAUUAAAUUAUUUGAUUUUGUGGAAUUAAUUUAUCAAAUUUGAUAAUUUUAGUUAAUCAGUAAAUACAAGUUUGAAUUCUAAUUAUGAAAUUUCAUUCUGAAAGUUAUUGAAUUGCUACAAAAAACAAUUCAUGCAAGUCUGACGUUGAAAAUAAAAAUUUUAUUCUAAUAGUGAAUAUUUUCUCGCAUGUUUGAAAUGGAAUUUAAAAAAAAAAGGGAACUUUAUACAGAACGUUGGUUGCUAAUGAUAGUUUUGUUAGCCUUUAGUGCACCAUGGUUCACCUAGCUAGCAGGUGUUUAUAGGAGGUGCUAGCUUCGUGCAAUAGCCAAUGCAUGUGAAACGGGGGGAUGAUUAUUUCUGAGCAUUAUACUCACGUUUGUUUCGUGGCUUCAGCUGUGUUUGGUUUCUUACCCUCAUGAACUGUGUGUCUACAUUUGUUUUUGUGGCAAGAGCCGCAUCUAAUUAUUUACCUUCGUGGACUGUGUGUCCAUGUUUGUUAAUUGUUCUGAUAAGUCUUUAUAAUCAUAAAUUAGAUUAUUUUGUGAUUUUACAUCUCAUUGGUUUUUAUUUAGUAAUUUAUAUAUAAUCACUUAUUUUGUUUAUUUGUUUUUAUGAAAUCACGUGACAAUAAUAUUUGAUCUGAUAAUUUAAUGGUCCAAAAUUUUAUUUAAAAUUUUAUAUAGAGCUAUUUUAUUCUAAAGUUUGCUAAAAUUUUUAUGAAAAUCAUGGUCCCCAACUUACACAAAUGUUUCAAACUUUUCUUUUAUUCAUGUUCAAUUGUUUAUUUGUUGGAACGUUAUUCACUGAAGAUAUUUUUGGUCCCAGAUAGCAUAGUUGAUGAUCUACCUCUUAUUGAUCUCUAAGGGGCUCAUUGUUGAACUAAAGAGAAAGCCUUUUGAGGGUACUUUCCUUUUGACGUAAAUGUUUAACUAUGUGCUAUACUUUAAAAUUUUGAUUAGAUGCUCCACAUUAACUAUAAAUAAGAUUUUAAUAUGUCAUUUAUUUGUCUGUUUGUGGUGGAGGAGCAGAGCUCCGCAUUUUUGAUUUGGAUCGCGCAUUGAUGUUGUAAAGAUUUUGGGAAGUCUUGUUUACAGUGGAAGUUUUGUCAAAAUUUUUACAAGAAAAUUUAAGAAUCUUUCAUUUAUAUAAAAAAAAUGUUAUAAUGAUUUAACAUCCUAUUUUAAUUGAAUUAAAAUAUUAGAGUAAAGUUUUCCUAAUCAAGGCUCAAGGGAUGUAUAUUUGUGCAUAUAUCCCAUGCCAAUCACAUCUCAAUUUUAGGGUGUGACAAGUUGACAUGGAAGAAGCUUAUAAUCAACUUGAUUGUAGCCUAAUUGAAAGAACCUUGUUAGACAUUGGUCUCGGAUAGGCUUUUGUGAGUGUCAUAAUGUCUUGUGUUUCCCUUGCUUUGAUGAAAGUCUUAUGGAAUGGUGAGGAGACUCAAGAAUUUUACCCUUCAAGAGGACUUAGGCAAGGAGAACCACUAAGUUCCUACUUGUUUAUCCUUUGCAUGAGAUGUCUAAGGCAUUUGAUUCAAAGAGAGGUGAGACUGAAGAAGUAGAAACCAAUAAAAAUUAGUGCUCACGAACCUCAAGUUUAACACUUGUUCUUUGCAAAUGAUUUGUUUCUUUUUGUUGAAGCUUCCCAGAGGCAAAUGGAGGUUAUUUGUGAUCCUAUGACUAAGUUUUGUAAUGGGUCAGGUCAUAGGAUUAAUCUCUCAAAGUCGAAAGCUUUCUUUUCUAGAUAUGUCAAUUUCCAUCAUGAGAAGGAGUUCAGUGACUGCUUGGGCAUAGGUGUCUCUACAGACUUAGGGAAAUAUCUUGGGGUUCCGCUCAUACAUCAACGAACUACAAAGAGAACUUAUCACCCCAUUUUGCAGAAGGUUCGUAGCAAGCUUUCAUUAUGGAAAGGUAUGGCUAAGGAGAAAUAUUCAGAGUAACUUUAGCUCUGAAACAAGAAACAACUAGGAAUGGCUGGCGUUACUAGUCUCUGUGGAAAAAUAGAUGCAAAGGGAUAAUAGAAGGGAAAUGACUUGAAGCUGUGGAGAUCCUGCACAAGACUAAAAUGCAAGUAGUUAAAAUAGUGGAGAAUGGAAUAUUCAAGCACAAGGUCUUUCAAAGGUGGACACAAGGGAAAAAAGAUGGAGUUCACUAUCAGAGAGCUAUCUUCACUUAGAUGUUGACAAUUCGAUGAAUUGUCAAGGGUUUGCAACGUGAGGGAGCCUUUUGAUAUGCGCGAGGUAAUUAGAUUUUGGGUUUUCAUAGUAAACUUGGGUAUAUUCCGUCCACUAUGGCCAAGCUAUCCACAUUACAUUUAGGUCUUAUACUUGUUAAGCAAUAUCACAUGAAGAAAAUUCAGUGUCACUUUGACUUGCUGGAAGCUACCCACUUACUGCAGACUAGUAGGGGCUUGAAUCAUCCUUUAUGUUCAAAUAUUACUAGGACACAAAAAUUGAUUUUCUCAGUUAGCGAAGUGGAAAUUUUCUAUUCCAAUCAUGAGAAUAUAAAAGUAGUUGACUGCCUGGAUAAGGAUGUGCAUAAAAUUAAGGUUUAAGGUGCAAUUUUUCCUUAAACUAUUUUCAAAGGAGCAAUGUUGCCUCCUAAACUAUUCAUCAUAGCAAUAUUACCCCUAAACUAAUCAAAUCGAAGUAAUGUUACCCCCAUCA